Molecule: long non-coding RNA, 4216 nt
Organism: Pteropus alecto (black flying fox)
Lineage: Eukaryota; Metazoa; Chordata; Mammalia; Chiroptera; Pteropodidae
Exons: 3
Source: RefSeq, a predicted model, not a curated record
AUAUUUACUGAGCAGUACUGUCUGCAGGGUCCUGACGGAGGUGUUUGGUUACCCGGGUCAGAGGCUGCCCUCCCGCCCUGCAGCCCUGAAGACAGACCAACCAUAAAGGGAAACUGAGCUUAGCAGGAGCUCGAGAUACCAGACACACCAGCCUUGGAACUGGGCAAACGCCGGAGACACACGACCCCUCAUUUUUGUCCUGAAGACAAAAGUUUUGCAUGUUUUACUGUCCUCUCUCUCACGGUGGCUGGAAUGCUGGUUGAGGCGAGGGAGGAAUCAGAGCCAAGGAGAGAAACGGGGUGAGAGCUACAAUGACGGGCGGAGGGAGUGACAACGGAGCGAGAGGCCGGGGGAGCUGAGGGACGAUGCUCUGGGGUCUGAGUGGGGAAGGAGACGGGACGGGCGCCUCGUCAGACAUGAUGUCCCCAGGGGCUGGGAUCAUCUUCUCCGUUUGUCCUCCAUGGUCACCAGGGCACUGAGCUUGGUAGGUUUCCCUGUCUCCCUUUACUGGCCACCAUGAGGCUGUGGUUAUCAGUGCCCUGCUUCCUGCAGCCCCAGGUGGCCGCGCCAGGCUCCCAGGCCAGUCCCUCGCCCACGGCCUCUAAAAGAGAAAGUCAAGAUCGGCGAGUGGGAGGACCCUGCUCACCCCGUUUCCAGUCGUCGCUGCCCACGCCGAUGCCCUCGUUCGCAACCGGUCAUCCUGAGCAUCUCUGCCGCUAAGCCCACCGUACUCGGAGGACCCCAGCCUCCCCCGGGAAGGGCUGCACCUGCUCCAUAAAAGUCUGUCUCUGUACCUUUGCUCACACCCUCUCUGUAUCCAAAAGCCCAGCUAUUCCAUCUACCAGAAUCCAACCUUUGUCUUCAAAAUCCAGGUCCUCUGUGCAGCUUUUUCUGAUGCCUGCCCUCAGUUAACCUCUCUCUUCUCUGCGCCGUAGAAUUUUGUGACUCGAUUGUAAACACUGCUUCUCACAGCGAGUCAUGCAUAUAAACAGUGCCUUUUUCGUGCUGUGUCUAACUAAACCCCUCUUCUCACCAAACCCCAGCGAGUACCAAGCAGAUGCUCAGGAUAAUGUGUUGAUUGACUUGUUGGACUGAAUGACUGAGGACAUGACAGCUGUGAUCAACCGAGAGUCCACACUCACCAUUUCCCAGGCCACCCGGAUUGUUUCCACGGCAGAGCCCGCCGCUGAGUGGAGAUGUCAUCUGAUUUAUUAAUUAACGCAAACACCAUUCAUCCAAAUGCUCCAGGGCAUGGUUAGAAAAAAAAAUCCAGAACAUUUUAAAAAUGAUAAAAAUAACUUUUACCAGCCUAGAAAUAACUGAAGUUUUAUUCCUAGUGCUUUGGUCCCAGCAUCAACCCCGCCUUCUGCAUCACCCAGGCCCUGUCGGCCCCCACCAGUUAGUUGUCCCCUUUUCCCACCUUGCUUCCCAGGUGAUUGACAGAAUUCCUGCCAGUAAGGCUGGCUAAUUGGGUUAAUGGAGUGACUGUGUUUUUUGUUCUCUCCACCACCCAACCCACCAUGCUGGCUGCUUUCCACUACCUGCCUCUCAUCUGUUCCAGGAUCACUAAUUUGCAACAACAACUUCCAUUGUCGGCCACAUCUGGGACUGUGGGGUUUUAAGUGAAUCUCCUCAAGGCAGAGAACAGAAGAUGCUGCUAUUUUGGUUUGUCUCAUUGACAAUGGGGCCAUUCUCUGGGGUUCACGGCAAGCGGGGGAAAUCUGAGCAGCCGUGGGACCCAGGCCAGAGCACAGUGUGCUGAGGAGGAGGGAGGCCAGCAGGUGGGGGGAAAAAUUCUGACCUUUUCUUCCCAGCUACUUGGGUUUGCAUUUCAUUUUAAUCAGUUUCAGAUGAAACUGACAAGCCAGGAGCCUCUGGAAUCUCAAUGGCCCCGGCCUUUGGCCUCUGGUCUCUAGAACUCCUAGCAUGUGACCUGGCCUGACCCAGCUUGCCCCAGAGGAGGCCGCACUGAGGGUGGCCUUUCUGAUCCCCAAGGCUCUCAAUGGUCUUGGAAAAAAACAAGGCUUUUCCCCUCUGUUGUUUUUUUGAGGUACGUUCAUUCUGCCUCAAUCUGUUACGCCUUAAAUGGAUCGCUGCCUGCCCUAAGUAUGGAAAUGUCAGCAUUCCGGAGCGAGGUGCUGGGACAGCGAGACGCAGCCUCCAGGAGCCCUGAGACAGGCCUGAGGGGCAAACUGCAGGGCUUCUGAUCCCAGAAUCCCUGAAAGCUGAACGUGGUUACCUGAGCGUCAGCCCUGGGCAGAUCCCACAGACACACCCCCAUCCCACCCAAACGCCUGGGUGGGCAGGGGAUGCUCGGACCCUCUUGAAUCCCCAGUGUCCUGCGCCCUGUUGUGCAGGUGAGCUUUCUUGUUGUACGUGUUGGUUUUCCCUGCAGCACACACUGCCUGGGUGACUGACGAGAAGAGGCGCUCAGUAAAUAAGUAAUGGAUUUCACUGGAUCGGAAGUUUCUGGCAAUCAAAUAAGAGCGGAGGUUCUUUCCAGAAAGGAAGAGAUUGACCAGAGGUAACCAAACUCACCAACACCUUUCCCAGCCACGUUGGAGGGUAUGUGCUCCAUGGGGGACCAUUUCCAGUCAGCCUUCAGGUACGUGACUCCACGCGACUGUCUGCACACCACUGCCCUCCGCUGGACACUGAGCCAAAGCUGCCCCGAGACCUGGUCCACGUCAGAAUGCCCUCAGGUGUCCUUCCCAUCCAUCCUGGACACAGCUACUGGACAAACUGGUUUCCUGGCUGGCUGCUCUUACCAAGUUUGUUUCCCCCUGACCACCGUGCAUUGAAUCCAUGAAACCUGAGAUGAGACGAGAGAAAACAGAGCUUCUCUGACUCCCUGGUACAUCGUAGGUUCCCUAAAUACUCAACGCGUGAAAAUCAACACCGUGACCCACGUUCCUGGCACGCCAACAGCACUGUGGACUGUUAUUAUAAUUAUUAAUUAAGAAUCCAUUUAAGAACCUAGAGUCUAGAACAGCUAGGAUGCUGAUGAUUUUUCGAAGACAACCGAGGACAAGAAAAAGGCACAAAGAGCUUCAAGCAGAAGAAUUAAAAAACAACCAGUUAUUUCUCUCUGUCUUAACAACAACAAAACCUUCCUCCUUUGGGAAAAGAUAAAGAAAGGAGAAAGUAAACACGUACACUGCCAACUCUUGUAGAUGAGACUGCUCUCUCCCUUACUGUGACGUGUUUUCUGUCUUCAAUAGUAGGUAUUUGUGAGCUUGCCUUAUUAUCUCUGCCUCUGACCUUAUUCGCUUAUAAGCACUUUGUCUGGCACAAUGACUGGCCUGUAAAAAGUCUACAAUACAUAGUUAUUGAAUUCCUGGCAGUCGAAUGUAGUAUAAGAGUGGCUAACAAUUUGCCAAUGGCAAUAGGAAAAUAAGCAAAAAUGGAAGCAGCACUUAUUACUUAUAAAUUGCUUCAAUUUGCUAAGAAAUUAUUUUCAACUCCCAAAAUUGAACUCUGGGGUUAGCCCAGGGCCUGGCAGGAUAUAUGAGUCUGAAGUUUCAGGAAGAAUUCCGGACUAAUCAGAGUUCCAGGAGUCACAGAGCAUGGGGUGGACCUGAAGACCCAGAGCAUCGCCCAGGAUGGGCUAUAGAAGUUGAAAUCGAAGUCUGGGACCUCGGGACUGGAUGCCGAAGGACCAGGGGGUACAAAGGAGGCCAGGACAGAGGCAAAGCAGGAAAAGCCAGAGAAACGAAGGAGGAGAGAGGAAGAGUAGAACCAAAAAAGCCAAGGACCUAGGGAGUUUUCAGGACAAAGGAGUGGCCUCUUGCCUCAAACGCAGCUGAGUAAUCUAGUCAAGACAGGAUUGAGAGCUGAUGGCUGGAUUGGGCAAUAGGAAGGUCAGUGGUGACCUGUGAGAGCAUCUGGUGACCUCGGUGAAAGCUGCUUCAGUUAGGGGGGCGUAGGUGGAUAGAGUGGAAGGCGCCAUGGUGAGAAUGGCAUUGAAUGGGAGGCAAGGACGUGAAAACCAUUGCAGGAGGCAAUCGAUGUAGAAGAAAGAACAAGGGCUUCUGGUUUUGACCUCGCACCCAGGCUUUGCCUCCCAAUCCGGCUUCCCUAUCAACUUGACACUGGUGACAUUUUCUAAAAAUCAAAAUUAAUCCUACCGCUUCCUGUUGUGAUUAACAUGCGCUGGCUUGCCGCUUGCUAGACAACGAAGAGCAAAGUCCAAUACAAAUCUGUUUAGUAUAAUUUA